AAGCAACGCGAAGAACUUACCAGGCCUUGACAUGCAGAGAACUUUCCAGAGAUGGAUUGGUGCCUUCGGGAACUCUGACACAGGUGCUGCAUGGCUGUCGUCAGCUCGUGUCGUGAGAUGUUGGGUUAAGUCCGUAACGAGCGCAACCCUUGUCCUUAGUUACCAGCACGUUAUGGUGGGCACUCUAAGGAGACUGCCGGUGACAAACCGGAGGAAGGUGGGGAUGACGUCAGGUCAUCAUGGCCCUUACGGCCUGGGCUACACACGUGCUACAAUGGUCGGUACAAAGGGUUGCCAAGCCGCGAGGUGGAGCUAAUCCCAUAAAACCGAUCGUAGUCCGGAUCGCAGUCUGCAACUCGACUGCGUGAAGUCGGAAUCGCUAGUAAUCGUGAAUCAGAAUGUCACGGUGAAUACGUUCCCGGGCCUU
RNAcentral lists this ribosomal RNA (427 nucleotides) under uncultured Pseudomonas sp. RNAcentral's name for it is "bacterial SSU rRNA". It matches the Rfam family "Bacterial small subunit ribosomal RNA", at positions 954 to 1382 of the family's 1533-position model. Lineage: Bacteria; Pseudomonadati; Pseudomonadota; Gammaproteobacteria; Pseudomonadales; Pseudomonadaceae. The record is from RNAcentral.